This 166-nucleotide ribosomal RNA is filed under the name Myxococcota bacterium. RNAcentral describes it as "partial 23S ribosomal RNA". It matches the Rfam family "Bacterial large subunit ribosomal RNA", at positions 2748 to 2925 of the family's 2925-position model. Lineage: Bacteria; Pseudomonadati; Myxococcota. The record is from RNAcentral.
GCUAAGUUCGGACAGGAUAACCGCUGAAAGCAUCUAAGCGGGAAGCCCCCUUCAAGAUUAGGUCUCAUUUGAGAGGCGUUGGAGACGACGACGUUGAUAGGCCGGAUGUGGAAGCGCAGCAAUGUGUGAAGCUAACCGGUACUAAUUCCUCAAUGUAUUCAACAAC